AAGAACAAGAACGGUGCCACAUCCGGUUCAACGAGCAAGUUCUUCCGCUGACUACAAGCCCGGCUCUCAAUCGAAGAGUCGACUGGGCCAAAGGUGCAGCCGACAGACUCGGAGGACAUGCUGAAGGGAGCCCAACCUGCAUUUGAACACAUAACAGACAAUCACAAAGCAGAGGAAAAAGUUGCAAGUUGGAUGGCAGUCUGCUCGUCGCUAGGUGGCGAAGUGGUCGGCUCGUGAGUAGAACGUCGGACAAGUGCGCCGACCUGAGAAGAAAGACAUCCGAAUCUGAUCAUGUUGACUGCUGCCUGAAGAGGACAAAAAAAAAAAGUCUUCAACACUGCGGAAAACAUGCUUGUUGGAAUGAAUUGAGCCUUCUUACUGGAAUCUUCUGCCGCAACACUUGGUCCAGCAUGAUCAGCACCAACAGGCCAAGCCGCUACUGGUCCAGUGACUCAUCCAAGGUGGUCAAACCUGCCAAUGUCACAAACAAGGCUCGUCAACCCCUUUUUGUACAUUUGAACAGUAACGUUGAAAAUGGAGGCAGCGGUGAGGACCUGCUACAAGCUUG
Hippocampus zosterae (dwarf seahorse) is the source of this 568-nucleotide long non-coding RNA. RefSeq lists it as uncharacterized. The record is from RefSeq and is a predicted model, not a curated record. Lineage: Eukaryota; Metazoa; Chordata; Actinopteri; Syngnathiformes; Syngnathidae. The transcript has 4 exons.